UAACGAGCCCCACGUGGGACGGCGAGAAGCUCGCUCAUUGUGUUCGCUGUUGUUGCCGUCGUGUGUGGGUGUGGGUGUGUGUCUUGUGUCGUCCUCGGUGAUUGUCUUGGACCCUACUCCCUCUCUCUCAUCUUUACAGAGCAUCCUGCGCGUGCAUCGGGUGCAGGUCACAGACGACGUCUUGUUUGUGUGUGCGUAUCUUCUCUUCGCCAGUCGAGUGCGGUCACCGCCUCCGCCCCUUCCCCCAGCCACUCCCCCUUUCUCUGCAGCAGCGCCAUGCUACGCGCGCGUGCGCGAAGCGCUUACACGGUGGCGCGCUCUCCAGCGGCGCGGUGCUCGGCCGCCGCCGCGAUCGGCGCCGGCAGUGUCGUCCUCAACGGCAGCAGCGGGCUGGGAAGCGGCGUUGGCGCUGCGGCCGCCUCCGCCCCACUGCACGAGCCGCGCCGCUACUCCUUCAAGUACGCCACAAAGCGGCAGCACAACGAGGCGCGCCAGCCGUCGUACGUUCACGACAAGCGCUACGGCCUCUUCAGCAAUGAGCGCAACAUCGGCAAAUCCCGCCGCGGGCUGCCGCAUAUCACGCCGAUAUACACGAAGCACAUGAGCCUGUGGGAGACAGACACAGACGCGAGCACCAACCGGUUCUUCCGGCACUACGUCUUUGGUCAACGGGAGGAGCACCUGUUGCUCGGUCGUCCCCACGGCUUCGAGGCAGAUCAGGCUGGUGGCCGCCAGGGCGACUCGGCCUACGAGCUCAACACAGACCAGCGCUACAAGGGCGUGCCGCGGCCUGCCAUCACGAACCUGCACUACGAGCCGGUGUGGAACCAAACGCUCUACCGCAACACCGCGCACGGAAACCAGCUCACAAACCCGUCGUCGAAGCUGACGGCGGCGGUGCUGGGGCCGGAGUUGAUGGAGGUGCGCGACGUCAAGUCCGUGGAGCACUGCAAGGCGUGGUUCGACCGGCUUUCAUUCCUCAUCCAGCAGCACUACGACGCGGUCGGCGACAUCGGCGCGUUUCGCUCGCGGCACGCGCAGCACGUGCACGAGUUUUUUGUGGCCUUCCACGAUGCUCUGAGCAGCUUCGACUUCCAGGACCACUACCUGUACGACCAGUUUGCCAAGGCGCGGCCGAAGCACCUGGAGGACCUCUUCGCCAUCUUCCUGGAGAUGGAGGCGAACUACGUAAACGAGGACUACUGCCCUCGGUGCAGCUUGCCUUACGCGACGACGCGCUACUGCGGCGAGGGUGACCCAAACACGCCGUUUCGCAAGCACCGCGGCCGAUGGGCGCCGCAUCAGUACUGGGGCAAGGAGUGGUACGACGUCGUGAUGCGCCGUGCGGAGGCGCUGUGGUACCGCGCCACCGAGGACCCGUUCUUUGGCACGACGGCGCACACGCAGCGUCAGGUGGAGGCUCUCCUCUCCGUCUACAUCAAGACGAAGCACCGGGCCAAGAUGGUCGACUUCCUGCACGCGCUUCGUGGCUCAAAGGAGUUUCUGCUGGGGCAAGUGCAGAUCACGCCGACGAUGCAGAAGGCCGCGGAUGACCUGCUAGACAGCACACCACACGAGCACCUCCUCACGAACGCCUUCAAGCUAGAGAGCAGAGCCGCCAAGUAUACGGGUGACGCGCAGAGCGUGCCCCACUCGCCCCUGCAGAUGCGGCUGGACAUGGAGAUGAGCAAGUAUCGCCGACAGCAACGUGAGGAGGGCGUGGUGCGGGUGCCGCCUGCCUCGUGGAAGCUCGACACCUCCGCGAUUGUGCCUUACAAAGUCGACCCGCAGACGAAGCACGUGGCAAACUGGCGGGCCGUGAAGGAGGGCAUUGAGCAGUCCUUCCUCGCCACCGGUCUUCCCAAGGAAGCGUACACGAGUGAGGAGUGGCGCGAGAUGCUGUACCUGAAGGAGCGCAUCGCUAGUCGGGGCGCGCGGCGCGCGCAGCUGGAAGCCGAGCGCCAGGCGGAGGAGGCAGCCAUGGCGAAGAAGUACGGGCAGCACUCUCCUGCAGCGACUAGCAGCUCGUCGUGGUGCGUCUUCCCUGACACAGCGUGGUAUCGCGUAUUCGAGACCGCCGCGGAGGUGUUGAAGCCGUACGGCGUCACCCACGCCGGGCAGCGUGUGCUCGUGCGGAGUCGGGCGUACGCCAAUCCCGCGGCGGUGCCGUACACAGACCCGGUGCGCAACGCCUCCGUGUUGCUUGACACCACCCCGGAGGCGUGCGGCGUCUUUGGCGGAUUCGAGUCGGGCGAGGUGCUGCGCCUGACUCCAAAGGAGCCGGAGGGGGCCGCGGCGUUCGACGUGGUGGUGGUCGGCGUCGACAAGAGCGGUGCCGAGGCAGAGUGGAGCCUGUACGCCAUGCACCGCGAUGCUGCAUCGCAGACGAGCAAGGGACUGCUAAACCUCGGCGCGGACUGCCUGCAACUGCUGUCCAGCUACGCCAAGGUGGAGACGACGCGGAGGCGCGCUGUCGUGACGGUACUGGAUGCCGAGCGUACGCUGCCGGAGGAGCAUCUUGGCCAGGUCGUCGGCGUGCGUGGAGGCGAGCUGUACGUGCAGUGGCACCUGCAGCGCGGCGGGAGCUCUGAUCUCGACCGCAGCGUCGCUGUCCCGCUCGGCGACCCGGAGACGGUGAAGCAGAUGUACAAGCUGCAGACCCUGACAGACGCAGACGGGGCACCGGCGCUGCUGCAGGAGCCACCGUCGUGGCGCACGCCGUUCCGCAACGACUUCGUCGAUGAGCGUCUCAAGGAGCUUGAGCAGGCGCCGUUCAAGCGGGAGCAGUGGGCGUCUCUCAUCCAGGGCAAGUACACGCCCAAGGUGAAGAAGUACGGCUACGCGCAGCACACGACGCAAGACGACUUCCAGACGAAGGAGUACAAGGAUCGGCUGCUGGCGCGGCAGUACUUCCACAACCCGCAGGCGUUCUCUGUCAUCCCGGAGCGGCACGAGCGGUCGGUGAAGUUCAUGGGCAAGUGGGAGCACCAGCGUGUGUGUGGACUGCCGACAGUGGACCGGGAUGAGCUGGAGAAGGGCUGGGGCGAGGCGGAGGAGAUCACCGACGCCGCGGUGGGCGCGAUCGAGCAGGCGCUACGCGACAUCAGCGGCCGCCGGCCCGGCAACUUCGUCAAGUCACCGACGGAGACGCAGUCGCUGCGCCUCAACGAAUCGUGGUGGACGCCACUGGAGUUCGGCUGGGAGGAGCACAACCGCGAGCAGAUGGCCUUUCUCGACAGCAGUGAGCGCCGCAUCGUUGAAGGCGCUCAGCUGCCGUUUGGUGGCAAGCGACCGCCCUUCGGCACAACCUACGGCAUGGGUGAGCGCAUCAGCGAGAUUGCAGCAGACUACGCGAAGGGGUUUGGACUGGGCCCGAACGGGCACUCCCCACAGCACGACACGGCGCACUUCAACACGCUCGAGGCGGAGCAGCAACGCGUGAAGGUGCUCGGCCUCGGUAACGCACUUGUGCGGCUCUUCCACGAGAAGCUGGGCAGCCAGGACAUCCAAGCCUGGGCAUUGCAGCAGUGCGGUGAGUCCGACGCGAAUGUACGCCAGCUUCUACUCUCCGUGGAGGAGUGGCGCACGAAGGGGCGAGCACCGUCGCUUCUGCUGCGCAAGGUGUUGCAGCGGUACCUGAAGGAGGAGCUCGAUGACUUCAAUAGUGGACUUCCGGCUCACGUGCCGCGUCUCGCGGUGCCGUGCGCGGAUGCGUCUGCCGCCGACAGCAUUGGCAGCAGCAGUGCCGGAUGUAUCUGGGUGGACGUCGACCGCAACGCCUUCGCCCUGGAGCACGCGAGUCAGUUCCGUCGCGGUGACAGCGAUGAGUCGUACAUCGUCGGCCUCGUACAGCGCGCUGGUAUGAGCAGCGGCGGUGGCGGCGCCCUCGCCGCUUCGCCGGCGGGCAGCGGCGCCAACAACACUUACGCGGAGUACAUCCAACAGGAUGUGCUGCAGCGCUUUCAGAUCGGCCUGGCCCGCAUCGUCGGUCGCGGCAUCCCAAGCUCGAUCAUUAUGGAGCGCACUGUGAAGAGUAGCCGUGGCCUGGAGCGGGAGAGCGCGAAAAUGCUUACACUCGUGCUCGUCGGGGAACUGGCGAAACUGCUGUCGAAGAUGCGCGUCACACCGGACAACAUCUCCAUGGUGGUGCGCGGCCUGGCCCAGUGCCCCGAGAAGGAGCUGCUGGGCGGCGGCGACUUUGCUGUGCCGGUGUCGCUCAUCUUCAGCUGGAAUGGCCCGCAGUCGAAUGUCUCCACGGCGACCAGCAAUAGCAGUAGCAGCAACGCCAACGCCGGUGCUUCCCGCGGUGCCGGUAUCAGCGCGGUGCAGCAGAUGCUUGAGCGAACGCGGCACGGCUCCAGUCCCGGCAGCAGCGGCAGCGGCGACGGUGACAAGAUGGUCGGUAAGGUGCUGGAGGAGCUGGCGUGGAGCCAGGACGGGGUCGCUGCCGAUGUCCUCUACGCACUUCAGCAGAACAAGGCGAACCCCACGCUGCGGCAGGAGUUCCUGAACGCCUUCCUGCCCGUGUGCUCGAACGACCACCAGAAAGCGCAGCACAUGUACGCCGAAUACAUGCUGGGCAAGUUUGUGCCCAACAUUACGGUCGCCAUCGAGGCCUUUGUGAAAUUUCUGGGCAACAUCUCGACGCAACCGGAGCAGCUGACCAGUGAUGUGGAGUACUUUGAGGUGGACAACGCGCGCCGCGCGGAUGGCACAGAGGGAACGGGCCAGUAUACGCAGGUGCGCCUGCUGCCGCCGGAGAUAGGGCCAUUCCAGUACGAGAAUACCCUCAUCGAGUCCAUCGAGACAGCGGAGCGCUUCCGUCGGUACGGCAUCCUGGCCGGCCCAGCCCGCGUCCCCGCUUCUGGCUUCAUCGCGGCGAACUGUAAGUCGCUCACCUACAUGACGCAUCGCGACAAGGAGGUCGUCUACGUGACCACGGAGAACGACCAAGGGCUGGCCAACGCGCUGCGCAGCUCUGCCUUGUUCAAGAGCAUCGCCAGUAACCCGAAGCUAAGCUACCUCUUGAAAGGGAUCACCGGCGGCGCUCCGUCGCAUCCACUGUUGGUCGAUAGCUUCAACCGCUUCUUCUACCGUGUCGCGCCGAUGCUGAGCUUCUACCAGCGACUGCUAAAAGAGUACAGCGCCACAAUGCCGUCCGCCCAGGCCGAGGCGCAGAUCGCCAACUUUGGACUCGCCCGAGCCCUGGAGAACGAGGCGUCGACGGCCAUCGAGCAGGACUUCCGCCGCAACGCGGAGCGCUACUGGCGAAACGUGCUGGAGGGCCGUAGCACGGAAGAGGCCGCGCUGAGCAGUGGCGGUCGCGAGUCGGCCAGCGCGCAAGGCCGCCGACCUUCCCAGCAAGGGAGUGGGCGCGCCGGGCAGUCCGGCUCUGGCAGCCGCCGAGGCAGCGGCGAGUUCAACCUUGCCAGUGUCGUGGGCCACCGCGCUGCCGCCGGCGCGCGCAGCGAGAAAAGCCGAGCUCCUGCCUCAUCGUCCAGCAGUAGUAGCAGCAACAGCACCGUGGCGACGGCGGCAUCCGCGUCGACGCGUGUCAAGGGCUUGCUGGGUAGCUUGAAGGGCGGCGGCAGUGGAGCCGGCCGCGGAAAGGGCUCUCGUCCCGCCAGUCCGUCCGGCGUAGCCCGCGGCAGUCGUGGAGCACGCAGCAGCAGCAGCAACAACAACAGCGGGGAUAAUCGCGGCGCAAGCGGGAAAAAGUGAGGCGGCGUUGGCGCGCUCGUGCGCGUGAGUGUGUGGAAUGUUGCUGGUGUUGUUGGGUUGAUGGUUGUGGCAUGCUAUGACGUCCAUAGCAAGGAAAACAUGGUGAAGGGGGAUCGCGGCGGUCGUGCGACGGAGAGACUCCGCGUCCUUAGCUCGGUGACGAUAUGUUCCCUCGACAAUGAAAGACCGCAAGCACGUGCAGGAAAAGAAUACGAAGCAACGAAAGGGGAGGAGGGGGAGGCUCCCAAGGGGCUGCGCACGAUCUGGUUUUCUGUGCGGCUCUGCGAAGGCCGCGGCGGCUUGUAGUGACGAGAUGGCUCGCAACACUGUGGAGAUGGCGGGAAGUGCGAGCGAGAGAGCAUGUGUGCGUUGUUGUCAGGUGCCGCAACGAAGCGAUCUCGCCACUCCCUCCGUGUAGGUGUCUUCUCCCCCGCGCGCCAAAAAUGCCGCUGCGACUUCACCCGCGCCCUCCCCUUUCCUUUUUGGCGCCUCUCGUAACGUCGAGUUGGCCGGUGCAGGCGCGGAGUAUGCGGGGAAGCGACAAGUGGCGCACGUGCUCGGGUCCACAUGGUAUGCCCCCGUGCGCCACAUCCCCUUGCGUAUGAAACGCGUGGAUGACCGCGUCCGUGCGCGUCUCCCUUUAACUUCACCUCGGUCUCCCCUCCGCUCUCAUCCGUUGUUGUUGGCCGUUGGCGACGGCGUGAACGCAUCUUCUCUAUUUUCUCUCACGUCCUCUCGCCGGCCCUCGAGGCCCAAAACUGGUGGCGCAUAG
This 6493-nucleotide unclassified non-coding RNA is filed under the name Leishmania donovani. Its description in RNAcentral is "gene:LdHU3.16.1550(CDS-product:hypothetical_prote in_conserved)". Lineage: Eukaryota; Euglenozoa; Kinetoplastea; Trypanosomatida; Trypanosomatidae. The record is from RNAcentral.